This is a long non-coding RNA of Raphanus sativus (radish), 1061 nucleotides long. RefSeq lists it as uncharacterized. The transcript has 3 exons. The record is from RefSeq and is a predicted model, not a curated record. Lineage: Eukaryota; Viridiplantae; Streptophyta; Magnoliopsida; Brassicales; Brassicaceae.
GUGUUCUUCAUACCUUUGUGAUCGGCAGAUACGAUGACGAUCCAGAUACGUAACAGAGGCGUUGUGAUUACUGUCUUUAUUCUUAUUGUCUUUAAUCUCAUUAAAUCUUAUGCCCACUACGAUAUUUUCAGAUACUGUCGUUCAUUCAGCGAUUCCGGUAUAAAUAGGAAUCUGGUGCUGGAGACGGUGUUUGUGUAUAUGAAUAGUAAUGAGGUUGAGUGCACUGGGCUGGGGAAGGAGAUGAUGAGGAGAAAGAUUAAAGCUUGGAAGAAAAAGGAAGUGAUUUAGAAAGGUGUGUGAAAGUUUCGCAUGAGGUGAGAUUGGAGAAGUCAUUGGUGUCGUUUGAGAAACCUAAGUUUGACAGUACAUCUAAAGUAAAUGGUCAAGAGAAGAAGUUGGAACUCUGUUGAAAUCAAAGCAAUGGCUAGACGUGAACGUGAGAUAGAAGUUGGUUGAACAUGAGUUUUGUGAAGCGAUUUCUGAACAGACCAGAAGUAUCUACAUCUCGGAUAUUAUGCCUAUGGAAAUAUCAAGCUGCAAGGAAUCCAUAGAAAGAUACCGUGUUCGAAUCAGAGUGUGUAUGUAGGCUACUUUGGAGGUGGUUUCUGGCCAGAUAUAAGGAAAUUGGAUCAAGACAAAGUUAUAUAUGGAAAGAUUUCAUUGCAGAGAGUUCGUUGGAUCACCGAAUUAUGAAUAGAAGUUAUAAACAAUUAGUAUUUCACCUUCAAAGUUGGGCCACAUUCAACUGAAUCUGCAGAAAUAGAUAAAACUGUUCUGCAACAGCAUUUUUAGGAGAUUGUUUGACAAGGUAAAUAAUUGCUGAUCGUGUUGAAAUUUAGUAUACAUACUCAUUGCAUGUCAGGCUUCAUAAUCAACGGUGGGAUUGAGGAGUGAACGGUUUUUUUAUUAAUUAUUGAUGUCUUUUUGAGCCUGUUUGAUGUAAUAUAAAACAUUGUGACAUGUAUUACAAAUUAUAAUGUUUGGUUAGGCAAAAGAAUUCGGUUUGAGCUAAAAAUUGGCAAAAGUAUUGGCAACUUACGUAUAUCUGUUCAGGUAGAAGU